GUAUCGUUGAUGCUGUCCUGUUGAUGAUCAGACAGCCAUCAAGCCGCAGCUCCCCYAGCCAGGUUCAGUGCUCUGCUGGCAGAAAAUGAUCAGGAAGAACAAGCAAAUGAGCCAUGAACGUGACUGUGACCUGCAUGCAGUACACCACUACCUGGGAACCAUGCCCUUGAGACUGUCCUGCUGCCCUGAAGUUUCCCGCUAAGAUGCCAUUACCUUGCAAGUCCUGAGACACCCACAGUUUGGCUGGCGAUGCUGGCUCUGGCCUCACAGUCAAGAGUCUUGGAGCUUCAUGGAGCCAGCCACAUAAGAGCAACACCGCAGACUUGUGAAAGACCUCACCAUACAAGGAGGCUGAGAAAUACCUGCAUGAACUGUGCAAAGAAGAAACACAAGUGUCUGCGCAUUUCCCUUGCAGUUUUGGCCUAAGUAAACACCCAGGAAAAUAGAAAGACAGAGCACUGUAACAGAGCACUGCCCCCCCCCCCAAGAAUAUGGAAUUAGUCUAUGCAAAACCAGGAUACGUGCAAACAAUCUGAUCAUGCUGUAAUGACAAAUUUGUGAAAGUAAGAGCAUGUGUAUUGUUUCAACUGUCCUUUCACAACAUAGUGGAUUAACAGAGAAUAUGUGGCAAAUUAUUCACCCAGUCACUUAACCGGAAAACAAAGGGAGAUGAUUAAGAAACAUCAGUAUUCUGAAGCAGCAAUCAAACUGACCCAGCCAAGGAGUGAUGAAGAACAACAAGCUCAAGUCCAGCCAAGAAAUGGUGCAGUCAUCUUGCUUUAAAACCGCAGGUUUAUGGCCAAGAAUCUUUCGCAGACUUUUCUGCGGUAG
This 831-nucleotide long non-coding RNA is filed under the name Apteryx owenii (little spotted kiwi). Its description in RNAcentral is "lncRNA (ENSAOWG00000017669.1)". The record is from RNAcentral. Lineage: Eukaryota; Metazoa; Chordata; Aves; Apterygiformes; Apterygidae.